This 785-nucleotide ribosomal RNA is filed under the name Streptomyces humidus. RNAcentral describes it as "bacterial SSU rRNA". It matches the Rfam family "Bacterial small subunit ribosomal RNA", at positions 56 to 857 of the family's 1533-position model. The record is from RNAcentral. Lineage: Bacteria; Bacillati; Actinomycetota; Actinomycetes; Kitasatosporales; Streptomycetaceae.
UGCAGUCGACGAUGAACCACUUCGGUGGGGAUUAGUGGCGAACGGGUGAGUAACACGUGGGCAAUCUGCCCUUCACUCUGGGACAAGCCCUGGAAACGGGGUCUAAUACCGGAUGAUACUUCUGCUCGCAUGGGUGGGGGUUGAAAGCUCCGGCGGUGAAGGAUGAGCCCGCGGCCUAUCAGCUUGUUGGUGAGGUAGUGGCUCACCAAGGCGACGACGGGUAGCCGGCCUGAGAGGGCGACCGGCCACACUGGGACUGAGACACGGCCCAGACUCCUACGGGAGGCAGCAGUGGGGAAUAUUGCACAAUGGGCGAAAGCCUGAUGCAGCGACGCCGCGUGAGGGAUGACGGCCUUCGGGUUGUAAACCUCUUUCAGCAGGGAAGAAGCGAAAGUGACGGUACCUGCAGAAGAAGCGCCGGCUAACUACGUGCCAGCAGCCGCGGUAAUACGUAGGGCGCAAGCGUUGUCCGGAAUUAUUGGGCGUAAAGAGCUCGUAGGCGGUCUGUCGCGUCGGAUGUGAAAGCCCGGGGCUUAACCCCGGGUCUGCAUUCGAUACGGGCAGACUAGAGUGUGGUAGGGGAGAUCGGAAUUCCUGGUGUAGCGGUGAAAUGCGCAGAUAUCAGGAGGAACACCGGUGGCGAAGGCGGAUCUCUGGGCCAUUACUGACGCUGAGGAGCGAAAGCGUGGGGAGCGAACAGGAUUAGAUACCCUGGUAGUCCACGCCGUAAACGGGGGAAACUAGGUGUUGGCGACAUUCCACGGUCGUCGGUGCCGCAGCUAACG